Molecule: ribosomal RNA, 253 nt
Filed under: uncultured bacterium
Lineage: Bacteria
Description: partial 16S ribosomal RNA
Rfam family: Bacterial small subunit ribosomal RNA
Source: RNAcentral
UACAGAGGGUGCGAGCGUUGUCCGGAAUCACUGGGCGUAAAGGGCGCGUAGGUGGCGGGGUAAGCGUGUGGUGAAAGUCCGGGGCUCAACCCCGGAUCGGCCAUGCGAACUGCCCGGCUGGAGCACGGUAGAGGCGCAUGGAAUUCCGGGUGUAGCGGUGGAAUGCGUAGAGAUCCGGAAGAACGCCGGUGGCGAAGGCGGUGUACUGGGCCGUUGCUGACCCUGAGGCGCGAGAGCGUGGGGAGCAAACAGG